ACUGAAUAGAUACCCGGGUAGUCCUGGCCGUAAACGAUGUCCACUAGAUCGUGGUGGCUCUGACGCCAUCAUGGUCGAAGCAAAAGUGCUAAGUGGACCGCCUGGGAAGUACGGUCGCAAGGCUAAAACUCAAAGGAAUUGACGGGGGCGUCACACAAGCGGUGGAGCAUGUGGUUCAAUUCGAAGCAACGCGCAGAACCUUACCUGGGCUUGACAUGCUAGGAUUAUCCCUAUGAAAGUAGGGUAGGCCCUUCGGGUACGAACUAGUACAGGUGCUGCAUGGCUGUCGUCAGCUCGUGUCGUGAGAUGUCGGGUUAAG
This 319-nucleotide ribosomal RNA is filed under the name uncultured bacterium. RNAcentral's name for it is "bacterial SSU rRNA". It matches the Rfam family "Bacterial small subunit ribosomal RNA", at positions 772 to 1084 of the family's 1533-position model. The record is from RNAcentral.